RNAcentral lists this ribosomal RNA (501 nucleotides) under uncultured bacterium. RNAcentral describes it as "bacterial SSU rRNA". It matches the Rfam family "Bacterial small subunit ribosomal RNA", at positions 8 to 507 of the family's 1533-position model. The record is from RNAcentral.
AGAGUUUGAUCAUGGCUCAGGAUGAACGCUGGCGGCGUGCCUAACACAUGCAAAGUCGAGCGAGAAACCAUCGAUUGAAACUUCGGUAGAUAUUGAAGCGGAAAGCGGCGGACGGGUGAGUAACGCGUAGGCAACCUGCCCUUUGCAGAGGGAUAGCAACGGGAAACUGUUAUUAAAACCUCAUAAUACCGUAAUGUCAAAUGAUGAAACGGUCAAAGAUUUAUCGGCAAAGGAUGGGCCUGCGUCUGAUUAGUUAGUUGGUAGGGUAACGGGCCUACCAAGGCAGCGAUCAGUAGCCGACCUGAGAGGGUGAUCGGCCACAUUGGAACUGAGACACGGUCCAAACUCCUACGGGAGGCAGCAGUGGGGAAUAUUGCACAAUGGGCGAAAGCCUGAUGCAGCAACGCCGCGUGAAGGAUGAAGGCCUUUGGGUCGUAAACUUCUGUCCUUGGGGAAGAAAAAAUGACGGUACCCCUGGAGGAAGUCCCGGCUAACUACGUG